CGGGAAGCAGCUCCAUUUUUUUGAGGGCCCUUUACACAGCUCAAGGUCUGGGUCCCAGGGUCCACCUUUAUGUUCCACCAAUGAGUUUGUUCACAGGGGUGUGUGUGUGUGUGGGGGGGAUGUCCUGAUGUGUGUAAGGAAUGCAUUGUGUGAAUCUGUGUUUGUAUGUGUAAGAGCUGCAAGGUGAGUUUGUGUAUGUAUGGGAUGCAGUGUGUGCGUCUGUAAGGGAUGCACUGAGUGUGUGUAAGGGGUGCAUUGUGUGUUGCUGUGUGUAAGGGAU
Molecule: long non-coding RNA, 280 nt
Filed under: Pelobates cultripes (western spadefoot toad)
Lineage: Eukaryota; Metazoa; Chordata; Amphibia; Anura; Pelobatidae
Source: RNAcentral